UCGGGAAUUUUGGGCAAUGGGCGAAAGCCUGACCCAGCAACGCCGCGUGAAGGAUGAAGUAUUUCGGUAUGUAAACUUCGAAAGAAUAGGAAGAAUAAAUGACGGUACUAUUUAUAAGGUCCGGCUAACUACGUGCCAGCAGCCGCGGUAAUACGUAGGGACCAAGCGUUGUUCGGAUUUACUGGGCGUAAAGGGCGCGUAGGCGGCUUGACAAGUCACUUGUGAAAUCUCUGGGCUUAACCCAGAACGGCCAAGUGAAACUGUCAUGCUAGAGUGCAGAAGGGGCAAUCGGAAUUCUUGGUGUAGCGGUGAAAUGCGUAGAUAUCAAGAGGAACACCUGAGGUGAAGACGGGUUGCUGGGCUGACACUGACGCUGAGGCGCGAAAGCCAGGGGGAGCAAACGGGAUUAGAUACCCCGGUAGUCCCUGAGCGGGCUGGCAAGGCGCAU
This 448-nucleotide ribosomal RNA is filed under the name uncultured bacterium. Its description in RNAcentral is "bacterial SSU rRNA". It matches the Rfam family "Bacterial small subunit ribosomal RNA", at positions 355 to 825 of the family's 1533-position model. The record is from RNAcentral.